UGAGACCACAGAGGCAGGUAUACAACUAGAGAUUCACCAGUAGUGUAAAUAUGAAAAUCUUCAUAUAUUAGAGUCUGUGGUAUCUCAUGAAUAAGUCCAAUCAUAACAUUUCUUUGCCUGCUUUCUUAUUAUGUGACUAUAAAAAGAUGUCAACAGUGCAUUUAAAUUUUCCUGCAGAGAGGAAAUAUGCAGAUCACAAUGAAGCUAUUACCCCUGUAUGCACACAAGUUGAACCUAACGGCAUUAAAAGAAAAGGACAAGCUGUGAAACGCCUAGAUUCCAGAGCAACAGACUGUGAUCCAUUCCCAACAACCCCUCCCUACCGUCUGCCACCAGUUCCCUUAAAGCAGGAAUCAGAGCUAGACUGACUCAACUAAGAAUUGUUUUGGAGAACUUGAAACUCAACAUUCCAUAAAGUAAGUGUAAUAUUUUUUCUAAAGAAUUUUAUCCUCCUUUCACUAACGUCAUUCAAGUUUUAUCACCAAUAGCUCUAUAAACAUCAGCCUGAAGGCACAUGGAAGCAUAUUUCCUAAGGCUGCUAAAGCAUUCAUUCUCAACCCUAACUGAACAGUAGUAUAUGCUGCCUUGCAAUGAGGUUAAUAAACAGGGCAUAGAAGGUCAAGGAUUCUAAGCCAGGAGCAAAUCCCACACCGUUCAACUUAAGCAGUACAUUAUUCCAGAAUAAUGCAAUCACUGGAGCUGUGCUUACACUACAAAUCUUAAAAGUGUCAUUCCAUUAUAAAAAGGGCUUUGAGAGCAUUAAUAAUCAUAGUCCAUCAGGAAAGUCCUUCAUUCAACUCAUGGUCCAAUCAAAACUGCCUUAAUGUUAUAGACUUUGGUAUGGCCUAUGUAGCAUCUAAAAUUAUUUGCUACAUUGAAUUUAUUACUGUGUUUGGCUGACUUUUUUUUUUAACUCAAGACAUGCUGAUAACUUUUAUGCUAAGGAAGGAGAAGGCAAAACAAAAGCAUGAUGGAAAGUGUAAAGAUUGGACUGCAGGAGAAGAUAUGUGAAUACUUUGAUUAUCCUGUUUGAUAUUGCC
RNAcentral lists this long non-coding RNA (1040 nucleotides) under Pan paniscus (pygmy chimpanzee). RNAcentral describes it as "lncRNA (ENSPPAG00000045194.1)". The record is from RNAcentral. Lineage: Eukaryota; Metazoa; Chordata; Mammalia; Primates; Hominidae.